Molecule: unclassified non-coding RNA, 347 nt
Filed under: soil metagenome
Description: partial contains 5.8S ribosomal RNA, internal transcribed spacer 2, and large subunit ribosomal RNA
Rfam family: 5.8S ribosomal RNA (bases 2-120)
Source: RNAcentral
GUGAAGAACGUAGCGAAAUGCGAUAAGUAAUGCGAAUUGCAGAAUUUCCGUGAGUCAUCGAAUCUUUGAACGCACAUUGCGCCCAUUGGCAUUCCGAUGGGCAUGCCUGUUCGAGCGUCAUUAUCCUCCCUCAAACCCCUGGGUUUGGUGUUGGACUGUGUGGUGCCUGGCACCACUGGUCUCAAAGACAAUGACGGCGUCCGUGGGACCCUCGGUGCAACGAGCUUUUCGAAGCACGCGUCGAGUGGACAGUCUCUCCGGGCCGGUCACCUCUCCAAUUUUUCUCAGGUUGACCUCGGAUCAGGUAGGAAUACCCGCUGAACUUAAGCAUAUCAAUAAGCGGAGGA